This 424-nucleotide long non-coding RNA is filed under the name Amphimedon queenslandica. Its description in RNAcentral is "uncharacterized LOC109587670". Lineage: Eukaryota; Metazoa; Porifera; Demospongiae; Haplosclerida; Niphatidae. The record is from RNAcentral.
UACUAUAUAUACCAAGUGGAUGCGAAACAGGAAGUAGAUUGUACAUGAAAUUAUAUUGGUGACGUCACGAGCAGUAUGCCUAUGCUUUUUUCGCUCUAGCGUUAGCCUCUAGUGGCCUUGUUUCUCGAAGUUUUGGGUUCUUGGUCAAGUUACUACUUUGCUGAGUUGAAGUAAGUAUUAUGAAGUCUCUAUUAGCUCGAAUGACCUGCUAAAUCCUUGUUUGCUUGAUCACUGGAUCUCGUUGUGCUGUAAAACAUGGCGGCCUACAGUUCUGACUUUAAACACCUUUUCUCCAAUCUGGGGCAGAGUUAGGUAUGAAUAUGAAACCAAUGAAGCUAAAUUGUCUGUUGUUUCUUGUACUGACUCUUUUCAGAAGAAAUAUAGAUUUUUAUGAAGUUUUUUAUAAUUAUUGAUUUUGCCACCA